This is a long non-coding RNA of Sander lucioperca (pikeperch), 527 nucleotides long. RefSeq lists it as uncharacterized. The record is from RefSeq and is a predicted model, not a curated record. Lineage: Eukaryota; Metazoa; Chordata; Actinopteri; Perciformes; Percidae. The transcript has 3 exons.
GGUAAACAUGUGCUGUUAAGUUACAUUUUCCAGAUAAAACCAAUAAGUUAACAAUUAAUUCAAUUUUACAACUUCUAUAUGAUUAAAAACUGGACUUUUCACUGCUUACGUGGCUCCUACAAAGUCCCGCCCCCCACCUCAGUGCUCGCCUUCUGAUUGGUCCAAACCGUUGCCUUUUAGCCCCUCCCCUGUAUCCUGCGUACGGACGUCAUGACGCAGGGACCCGGAAGUGGUGGCGGAGCGCAGCAGAGAGAGUAAAGGCGAAGACAAGAGCGACUUUCUUCUUUCUUUCUGGCGACUUUUUCACAGUUUGGCAGAAAAAACGGGACAGAAAAAGUAGAAGAAUUCCCGGAAGUCCUCCAGACAGUGUCUUCGGUGCUCUCUCCCCUCUCUGUCUGCUGUCUUCUGUCCAGCCAUGGACCACAUGGACCACAGCAGCAUGGCGAUGGACCACAGCCACCACCAACACAACACCGUGGCCACGCCCACAACUGGCCACGACCACGGCGGUGACCACGGGGGGGACC